This 427-nucleotide ribosomal RNA is filed under the name uncultured cyanobacterium. Its description in RNAcentral is "bacterial SSU rRNA". It matches the Rfam family "Bacterial small subunit ribosomal RNA", at positions 356 to 795 of the family's 1533-position model. Lineage: Bacteria; Bacillati; Cyanobacteriota. The record is from RNAcentral.
GGGGAAUUUUCCGCAAUCCGGAGUAAGCCUGACGGAGCAAUACCGCGUGAGGGAGGAAGGCUAUUUGGGUUGUAAACCUCUUUUUUCAAGGAAGAAGAAAGUGACGGUACUUGAAGAAUAAGCAUCGGCUAACUCCGUGCCAGCAGCCGCGGUAAUACGGAGGAUGCAAGCGUUAUCCGGAAUCAUUGGGCGUAAAGCGUCCGCAGGUGGCGUUCCAAGUCUGCUGUUAAAGACUAGAGCUCAACUUUAGAAAGGCAGUGGAAACUGGAUAGCUAGAGUACGGUAGGGGUUGAGGGAAUUCCCAGUGUAGCGGUGAAAUGCGUAGAUAUUGGGAAGAACACCAGUGGCGAAGGCGCUCAACUGGGCCGUAACUGACACUUUUGGACGAAAGCUAGGGUAGCGAAAGGGAUUAGAUACCCCUGUAGUC